AAAUAGAACAAGUCACUGAUCCAAAAGUAGCAGCCGGUCAUCAUUUGAGCUUCUCAAGGAGUUUCGGUGCUACACAUUUGUCAAUGCAUGACCAAUAGUCGAAAUAUUGCCCAGUGCAGUGUUUAUGCCCAGUAUCAUCCUUCUCCACUCUCUUGACGCACUUCUCAUACUCAUAGAGUGGCUUUACGCACUGGGGCUUGCAGCGCUCCUCAAGGUACUUCUUUG
RNAcentral lists this unclassified non-coding RNA (225 nucleotides) under Hevea brasiliensis (rubber tree). Lineage: Eukaryota; Viridiplantae; Streptophyta; Magnoliopsida; Malpighiales; Euphorbiaceae. The record is from RNAcentral.